CCCUUAGAUGUUCUGGGAUGCACGCGCGUUACACUGAUUCGUUCAACGAGUUUAUGACCUUGCCUGAUGAGGUGGGGGAAUCUUUUCAAAUCGCAUCGUGAUGGGGAUAGAGUAUUGCAACUGUGAGUCUUCAACGAGGAAUUCCUAGUAAGUACGUGUCAUCAGCUCGUACUGAUUAUGUCCCUGCCCUUUGUACACACCGCCCGUCGCUCCUACCGAUUGAGUGCUCAGGUGAAUAGUAUGGACUGCAUCAGUGUUCGGUCUCCGAAUGUUGACGCGAGAAAUUCUGUGAAUCUUAUUGCUUAGAGGAAGGAGAAGUCGUAACA
Molecule: ribosomal RNA, 326 nt
Filed under: uncultured eukaryote
Lineage: Eukaryota
Description: partial 18S ribosomal RNA
Rfam family: Eukaryotic small subunit ribosomal RNA
Source: RNAcentral